CCUACGGGAGGCAGCAGUCGAGAAUCAUUCACAAUGGGGGAAACCCUGAUGGAGCGACGCCGCGUGGGGGAAUGAAGGUCUUCGGAUUGUAAACCCCUGUCAUGUGGGAGCAAAUUAAAAAGAUAGUACCACAAGAGGAAGAGACGGCCAACUCUGUGCCAGCAGCCGCGGUAAUACAGAGGUCUCAAGCGUUGUUCGGAAUAACUGGGCGUAAAGCGUGCGUAGGCUGUUUCGUAAGUCGUGUGUGAAAGGCGCGGGCUCAACCCGCGGACGGCACAUGAUACUGCGAGACUAGAGUAAUGGAGGGGGAACCGGAAUUCUCGGUGUAGCCGUGAAAUGCGUAGAUAUCGAGAGGAACACUCGUGGCGAAGGCGGGUUCCUGGACAUUAACUGACGCUGAGGCACGAAGGCCAGGGGAGCGAAAAGGAUUAGAUACCCUAGUAGUC
RNAcentral lists this ribosomal RNA (446 nucleotides) under uncultured bacterium. RNAcentral describes it as "partial 16S ribosomal RNA". It matches the Rfam family "Bacterial small subunit ribosomal RNA", at positions 338 to 795 of the family's 1533-position model. The record is from RNAcentral.